This 71-nucleotide transfer RNA is filed under the name Marmota monax (woodchuck). Its description in RNAcentral is "tRNA.Ala". It matches the Rfam family "tRNA". Rfam says of the family: Transfer RNA (tRNA) molecules are approximately 80 nucleotides in length. Their secondary structure includes four short double-helical elements and three loops (D, anti-codon, and T loops). Lineage: Eukaryota; Metazoa; Chordata; Mammalia; Rodentia; Sciuridae. The record is from RNAcentral.
GGGGUUGUGGCUCAGAGGUAGAGCACUCGCCUAGCAUGCGUGAGGCACUGGGUUUAAUCCUCAGCACCACA